This 459-nucleotide ribosomal RNA is filed under the name uncultured bacterium. RNAcentral's name for it is "partial 16S ribosomal RNA". It matches the Rfam family "Bacterial small subunit ribosomal RNA", at positions 28 to 507 of the family's 1533-position model. The record is from RNAcentral.
GAUGAACGCUGGCGGCGCGCCUAACACAUGCAAGUCGAACGGCACCCCUCCUCGGAGGGAAGCGCGUGGCGAACGGCUGAGUAACACGUGGAGAACCUGCCCCCUCCCCCGGGAUAGCCGCCCGAAAGGACGGGUAAUACCGGAUACCCCGGGGUGCCGCAUGGCACCCCGGCUAAAGCCCCGACGGGAGGGGAUGGCUCCGCGGCCCAUCAGGUAGACGGCGGGGUGACGGCCCACCGUGCCGACAACGGGUAGCCGGGUUGAGAGACCGACCGGCCAGAUUGGGACUGAGACACGGCCCAGACUCCUACGGGAGGCAGCAGUGGGGAAUCUUGCGCAAUGGGGGGAACCCUGACGCAGCUACGCCGCGUGCGGGACGGAGGCCUUCGGGGCGUAAACCGCUUUCAGCAGGGAAGAGUCAAGACUGUACCUGCAGAAGAAGCCCCGGCUAACUACGUG